CCACCCCGUAACGACACCUUCCACCCCGUAACGACACCUUCCACCCCGUAACGACACCUUCCACCCCGUAACGACACCUUCCACCCCGUAACGACACCUUCCACCCCGUAACGACACCUUCCACCCCGUAACGACACCUUCCACCCCGUAACGACACCUUCAACCCCGUAACGACACCUUCAACACCGUAACGACAUCCAUUAUGCUGCUACUGCAGACUGGCCACUCGUGUGUGUGUGUGUGUGUGUGUGUGUGUCAGAGUCUAAAACACAGCUAAAUUACCACCGCUUUCCUCUCAAAUAGAAGCUAUAUUUAGCAUCACGCUGUGCUGCUUAAUCGCUACAGGGGAGAGAGGGAGGGAGAGAGGGAGGGAGAGAGGGAGGGAGAGCAGACUGAGCUACUAGCAGAGAGAGGGAGGGAGAGGGAGGGAGAGCAGGGAGAGAGGGAGGGAGAGCAGACUGAGCUACUAGCAGAGAGAGGGAGGGAGAGAGGGAGGGAGAGCAGACUGAGCUACUAGCAGAGAGAGGGAGGGAGAGCAGACUGUGAGCUACUAGCAGAGAGGGUGGAAGAACGAGGGAGGCAGGGAGGAGAUGGAGGGGGAGAGAAAGGGGGGGUUAACAGAUGGCACUUCUGUGGAUGUCCUCUUAAUAUCACUAAUGGUGACGACACUGAAGCCUUUCACAUAUUCUGCUCACAUUAGCUAAGAUCAAAGUAGAAGAGGCCACACACACACACACACACACACACGCUUCACUGAGAAGUCCCACUCUUUAGUACAAAGUAGACUCUUUGAUUGACUCAAUCUAAACUAAUCACCUACCACAAGCUAAGAGACAAGAUUCUACCAAGAAACUGUAGACACAUUGAGCAGCGAACGACAGGCCUCCUCCUCCGUCGUCAGACCAGGCCUCCUCCUCCGUCGUCAGACCAGGCCUCCUCCUCCGUCGUCAGACCAGGCCUCCUCCUCCGUCGUCAGACCAGGCCUCCUCCUCCGUCGUCAGACCAGGCCGUCGUCAGACCAGGCCGUCGUCAGACCAGGCCGUCGUCAGACCAGGCCGUCGUCAGACCAGGCCGUCGUCAGACCAGGCCUCCUCCUCCGUCGUCAGACCAGGCCGCCUCCUCCGUCGUCAGACCAGGCCGCCUCCUCCGUCGUCAGACCAGGCCGCCUCCUCCGUCGUCAGACCAGGCCGCCUCCUCCGUCGUCAGACCAGGCCGCCUCCUCCGUCGUCAGACCAGGCCGCCUCCUCCGUCGUCAGACCAGGCCGCCUCCUCCGUCGUCAGACCAGGCCUCCUCCUCCGUCGUCAGACCAGGCCUCCUCCUCCGUCGUCAGACCAGGCCUCCUCCUCCGUCGUCAGACCAGGCCUCCUCCUCCGUCAGACCAGGCCUCCUCCUCCGUCAGACCAGGCCUCCUCCGUCGUCAGACCAGGCCUCCUCCGUCGUCAGACCAGGCCUCCUCCGUCGUCAGACCAGGCCUCCUCCGUCGUCAGACCAGGCCUCCUCCGUCGUCAGACCAGGCCUCCUCCGUCGUCAGACCAGGCCUCCUCCUCCGCCGUCGUCAGACCAGGCCUCCUCCUCCGCCGUCAGACCAGGCCACCUCCUCCGCCGUCAGACCAGGCCACCUCCUCCGCCGUCAGACCAGGCCACCUCCUCCGCCGUCAGACCAGGCCACCUCCUCCGCCGUCAGACCAGGCCACCUCCUCCGCCGUCAGACCAGGCCACCUCCUCCGCCGUCAGACCAGGCCACCUCCUCCGCCGUCAGACCAGGCCACCUCCUCCGCCGCCAGACCAGGCCACCUCCUCCGCCGCCAGACCAGGCCACCUCCUCCGCCGCCAGACCAGGCCACCUCCUCCGCCGCCAGACCAGGCCUCCUCCUCCGCCGCCAGACCAGGGCACCUCCUCCGCCGCCAGACCAGGCCACCUCCUCCGCCGCCAGACCAGGCCUCCUCCUCCGCCGCCAGACCAGGCCUCCUCCUCCGCCGCCAGACCAGGCCACCUCCUCCGCCGCCAGACCAGGCCACCUCCUCCGCCGCCAGACCAGGCCACCUCCUCCGCCGCCAGACCAGGCCUCCUCCUCCGUCGUCAGACCAGGCCUCCUCCUCCGUCGCCAGACCAGGCCACCACCUCCGUCGCCAGACCAGGCCACCACCUCCGCCGCCAGACCAGGCCUCCUCCUCCGCCGCCAGACCAGGCCUCCUCCUCCGCCGCCAGACCAGGCCUCCUCCUCCGCCGCCAGACCAGGCCUCCUCCUCCGCCGCCAGACCAGGCCUCCUCCUCCGCCGCCAGACCAGGCCACCUCCUCCGCCGCCAGACCAGGCCACCACCUCCGCCGUCAGACCAGGCCACCACCUCCGCCGUCAGACCAGGCCACCACCUCCGCCGUCAGACCAGGCCUCCUCCUCCGCCGUCAGACCAGGCCUCCUCCUCCGCCGGCUGACCAGGCCUCCUCCUCCGCCGCCAGACCAGGCCUCCUCCUCCGCCGUCUGACCAGGCCUCCUCCUCCGCCGCCAGACCAGGCCUCCUCCUCCGCCGCCAGACCAGGCCUCCUCCUCCGCCGCCAGACCAGGCCUCCUCCUCCGCCGCCAGACCAGGCCUCCUCCUCCGCCGUCAGACCAGGCCUCCUCCUCCGCCGUCAGACCAGGCCUCCUCCUCCGCCGUCAGACCAGGCCUCCUCCUCCGCCGUCAGACCAGGCCUCCUCCUCCGCCGUCAGACCAGGCCUCCUCCUCCGCCGUCAGACCAGGCCUCCUCCUCCGCCGUCAGACCAGGCCUCCUCCUCCGCCGUCAGACCAGGCCUCCUCCUCCGCCGUCAGACCAGGCCUCCUCCUCCGCCGUCAGACCAGGCCUCCUCCUCCGCCGUCAGACCAGGCCUCCUCCUCCGUCGUCAGACCAGGCCUCCUCCUCCGUCGUCAGACCAGGCCUCCUCCUCCGUCGUCAGACCAGGCCUCCUCCUCCGUCGUCAGACCAGGCCUCCUCCUCCGUCGUCAGACCAGGCCUCCUCCUCCGUCGUCAGACCUGGUGUUGA
Long non-coding RNA from Oncorhynchus mykiss (rainbow trout), 3022 nucleotides. The record is from Ensembl. NCBI's taxonomy places the organism in Eukaryota, Metazoa, Chordata, Actinopteri, Salmoniformes, Salmonidae.